RNAcentral lists this non-coding RNA (20 nucleotides) under Arabidopsis thaliana (thale cress). The record is from RNAcentral. Lineage: Eukaryota; Viridiplantae; Streptophyta; Magnoliopsida; Brassicales; Brassicaceae.
UCUUGGUUGUCGGCACCAAU